CGGCAUGCUUUACACUGCAAGUCGAACGGUAACAGGGAGCUGCUCCGCUGACGAGUGGCGAACGGGUGAGUAUGCGUCGGAACGUGCCGAGUAGUGGGGGAUAACUAUCCGAAAGGAUAGCUAAUACCGCAUACGCUUGAGAAGGAAAGCAGGGGAUCGCAAGACCCUGCGCUAUUCGAGCGGCCGACGUCUGAUAGCUAGUUGGUGAGGUAAAGGCUCACCAAGGCAUCGAUCAGUAGCGGGUCUGAGAGGAUGAUCCGCCACACUGGGACUGAGACACGGCCCAGACUCCUACGGGAGGCAGCAGUGGGGAAUUUUGGACAAUGGGCGCAAGCCUGAUCCAGCCAUGCCGCGUGUCUGAAGAAGGCCUUCGGGUUGUAAAGGACUUUUGUCAGGGAGGAAAUCCCUAGCGCUAAUAUCGCUGGGGGAUGACAGUACCUGAAGAAUAAGCACCGGCUAACUACGUGCCAGCAGCCGCGGUAAUACGUAGGGUGCAAGCGUUAAUCGGAAUUACUGGGCGUAAAGCGUGCGCAGGCGGUUGUGUAAGUCUGAUGUGAAAGCCCCGGGCUUAACCUGGGAACUGCAUUGGAGACUGCACAGCUAGAGUGCGUCAGAGGGGGGUAGAAUUCCGCGUGUAGCAGUGAAAUGCGUAGAGAUGCGGAGGAAUACCGAUGGCGAAGGCAGCCCCCUGGGAUGACACUGACGCUCAUGCACGAAAGCGUGGGGAGCAAACAGGAUUAGAUACCCUGGUAGUCCACGCCCUAAACGAUGUCAACUAGCUGUUGGGGGUUUGAAUCCUUGGUAGCGUAGCUAACGCGAGAAGUUGACCGCCUGGGGAGUACGGCCGCAAGGUUAAAACUCAAAGGAAUUGACGGGGACCCGCACAAGCGGUGGAUGAUGUGGAUUAAUUCGAUGCAACGCGAAAAACCUUACCUGGUCUUGACAUGUACAGAACUUUCCAGAGAUGGAUUGGUGCCCGAAAGGGAGCUGUA
Molecule: ribosomal RNA, 992 nt
Filed under: Aquitalea pelogenes
Lineage: Bacteria; Pseudomonadati; Pseudomonadota; Betaproteobacteria; Neisseriales; Chromobacteriaceae
Description: bacterial SSU rRNA
Rfam family: Bacterial small subunit ribosomal RNA
Source: RNAcentral